This 253-nucleotide ribosomal RNA is filed under the name uncultured bacterium. RNAcentral's name for it is "partial 16S ribosomal RNA". It matches the Rfam family "Bacterial small subunit ribosomal RNA", at positions 524 to 775 of the family's 1533-position model. The record is from RNAcentral.
UACGUAGGGGUGCAAGCGUUAAUCGGAAUUACUGGGCGUAAAGCGCGCGCAGGCGGUCCUUUAAGUCUGAUGUGAAAGCCCACGGCUCAACCGUGGAGGGUCAUUGGAAACUGGGGGACUUGAGUACAGAAGAGAAGAGUGGAAUUCCACGUGUAGCGGUGAAAUGCGUAGAGAUGUGGAGGAACACCAGUGGCGAAGGCGACUCUUUGGUCUGUAACUGACGCUGAGGCGCGAAAGCGUGGGGAGCAAACAG